Long non-coding RNA from Ictalurus furcatus (blue catfish), 2021 nucleotides. RefSeq lists it as uncharacterized. The transcript has 5 exons. The record is from RefSeq and is a predicted model, not a curated record. Lineage: Eukaryota; Metazoa; Chordata; Actinopteri; Siluriformes; Ictaluridae.
UUUAACAAUGUCGUAUGUAACUUUAGAGACGGUCCCUUAAUUUCCGCAUACCCGCGAGUAUUGAACGUCCAACGUCAAGCCAACUUUAUUCCAGUGACGUACAUUUCAUUAUGACGCCAAAUUGCGACCAAGAGAGAUGGAUCAUACCACUCUGUUUGGGGAUUUUUGUGUGUGUUCGUUUUUAACAUUACUUAACAUGAAUAAACACUGUAGUGCUUAUAGAAGUCAAACUUAAUUUAAAGUUCAAUUAAUUAGCGGGGAAGUUUUAAUUUGAACUACGCUGGAUAGAACACACGCCACUAUAAAACACCCCCCCCCCCCCCCCAGGGUGAAUGGUAGCGUCCGUUAUUUUAAAAACUCCAGUGUGGCUCUGGGAGGCUAGUAGGGUUGGGCGAUCUGAUACCAGGCCUCUCCUACCUCAUGAACUGAGGUGUUCCACCUGUAUGGCCGAGGCCUCCACUGUGAUGCACAGGUCUUUGUGAGAGGACAGAUCAGACACGCUGACUGUUUUGUACGAAACGUCUGCCGCUGUCACUGGUUUGUACUGCUGCAGGUCAAAUACACAUGGCACUCCCUCUGGCUGUUGGUAAGCGUUGGUCCUCUCAGCACGACCUGCUGCAGCUCCUUCCGCACCUCCUCCUGCACUUCCUCCUCCAGCACCUCCUCCCCCUGCGGGGCUGUGGCUCUGCUGAGCUCCCGAGGGCGGAGUGGGUACCAGGUCCGGAGAGUGUUUCCGCAUGUGCUUUAUCAGUGGAUACAUGACGUCGAGACCCAUCUUUUCACACUGAGGACGACUGAGGGACUCGUACACCACGACUAUUACAUAAGAUUGCUGUCGUACAAGAGGAAUGAAACGCUUUCAGACAGAAGGAUCAUCACACCAUGCUGUCGUCGAUCGUCACCGAUAACAGCACGCACCCGGUCAAGUUUGAUUCCUUACUUUAUAACUCAUUCUAAUCUUCUGAACCGGUACAUUUAUUAAAAAAAAAAAAAAAGAGACCUACCUGUCCAGCCAGGUGACUGAGCAUCAGCGAGUCACUUCCUGUCGGGGAGCCCACCAACGGGAGUGUGGCCUUCUUCUUCCUCCCUCGCUUUGAUGGUAACGGGAUGACGACGGGGGAGCAGGACAUGCCAUCGUCUUUCUUGUCUGAGAGAAGUAUUAAAAGUAUUCAUUUGAAUGAAUACUAAAGAAGCGGAACAUUAUUGUUGCAGUUUUUUUGUUGUUGUUGUUGUUGUUGUGUGGCUUCUCUUUCAGAUUAUGAGCAGAACAUAACACGGUGUUACCUGCGUGCACUGUUAUCAUAGUGGUUGUCGGAUGCCCAGGGAUUAGAGAUGGAGCGGAGGAUACCGGAGACACCAGAGUGACUAAGCCCGCUGAACAAACAGGGUUGUGCCAUAUCGUAUCGUCCAUGAUAUACUGGUACAGUUCCUCCCCACGAUAAGGAUCUGUCGUCUCACUGAUGACGUGUUUACGCGCCGCAACGUGGGCACGGAGAACGAGAACAAGCACGGCAGAUGGCGGAGUUCGAGCUCUAGAUGAGGAAGAAGAAUUCACCUGUGAAAAAGGAGCUUCCUCAGUAAUAUGGGAAGCGGUCUGGACACAGCACUCUCACUCGUAUUUCCUGGGGUUAGAUUAUGAAUCCUGCGAGUACUGGAGUUUGCAUUUUCAAUGGAAUUUUAAUUUGUGAAUAAAAUACAUGUUCUACUUUUUUUGCCUAUUAAUUGGUAUAGUUUAGUAAUUGAUGAGGAGCAGGAUUAAGUUGUACUUCUUUGGAUUAAUGCUUGGAUCAAGGCUCUCAAGACUGUAUGCUGAUGUGACUUUUGGCCAAUUUUAUUUUUUAUUAUAUUUUAUAUUAUAUUACACACACACACACACACACACACACACACACACAUCGUCAUCUAGGUCACUACCGCAAAAAAAAAAAAAAAAAAGUAUCGUGAUUAUAAUUAAGUCUAUCUUGCUCAUCCCUACCUCAGUGCUGCCAAUCCGACCUCACAAUUCUUUUAAAUAGAUUAAA